GUAUUUUUAUAAAAUAUAACGACAUUCCGAUACAUGCGUGGUUUGUAAAAAUGAAGGCGGGUCCCCUUGCGGGGUCCCACCCGAGUGCACAGGUGUGUGGAUGGAUUUUUCCGGCGUGCAGCCCCGAGAGGGACGCACAGCCAGAGAAAAUUCGUUAAUGAUCCUUCCGCAGGUUCACCUACGGAAA
This 187-nucleotide unclassified non-coding RNA is filed under the name uncultured fungus. Its description in RNAcentral is "sequence contains ITS1". Lineage: Eukaryota; Fungi. The record is from RNAcentral.